This 2110-nucleotide long non-coding RNA is filed under the name Helianthus annuus (common sunflower). Its description in RNAcentral is "hypothetical non coding rna". The record is from RNAcentral. Lineage: Eukaryota; Viridiplantae; Streptophyta; Magnoliopsida; Asterales; Asteraceae.
GUAUUCACAUAUAAUGUAUAUAUGUGUGGGCGCUCGGGUGGCAAAAGUGAAAGUGCACUAAUUUUAACGUUAUUUUACUAAUUUCGUAAAAACAACGUUAAAAGAGAGGGAUGGUUAAUCAUGCAUCAUGUGGUGGCGUUGAUAGCUGAAAGACAAUGGGGUACAUGCACUAAUCGGCAGUCGUCUCAAUUGCUGAGUGUUAUGUGCCUUAUGUCCAAGGUUUGAUGCAAAACUACUAUCGAGCCGGGGGUCUCAUAGAAAGCAGCCUCUCUAUUCCUACAGGGUAGAGGUUUGAGGCUCACUCUCAACCAUGAAUGCAAAGGAAUUGAAUCUUCAAGCGGAAGAGCCGGAGUUGAUACGCGCUUGAAGGAAAAGAACUAAAGGUACAUAACUUUCGGUUUCGUUACAUUAUGCAUAAAUAAUAGUAUUAGAAAUAUUAACGGGAUUGUAAUGUAAAAUGCGAGUUUGGUAAGCCAAUGAAGUGACGAAGUUCACUCGACAAACCAAACGGGACAAAAUAAACGGUUAAAGCAUGUUUGGAACGUCAAUGAAGUGAUGUAACCAACUCGACAACCAAACGGGUCAAAAUAGUUAAUUAGAUAUGUUCGUUGAGAAUAUUGUUUAAUUUGUCGUGUUUGGGAUGUCAAUGAAGUGAUGUAACUCACUUGACAACCAAACGGGUCAAAAUAGUUAAUUAGAUAUGUUCGUGGAGAAUAUUGUUUAAUUUGUCAUGUUUGGGAUGUCAAUAAAGUGAUGUAACUCACUCGACAACCAAACGGGUCAAAAUAGUUAAUUAGACUUGUUUGUUGAGAAUAUUGUUUAAUUAGUCGUGUUUGGGAUUGCAAUGAAGUGAUGUAACUCACUCGACAACCAAACGGGUCAAAAAAAAUAGUUAAUUAGAUUUGUUUGUUGAUAAUAUUGUAAAAAAUUAGUCAUGUAUGGAAUGAAAAUAAAGUGAUGUAACUCACUAGAUAAAGAAACGGGCUACAAAUUUGGUUAAAUAAGAUGGUAUGUUGAUAAAAUGAUGAAUUAUGCAAGUAUAUAACUUGUUUCGCUACAUUAUGUUAACUCGAUAUUGUAGACAUUCAAAGAUAUGCUUAGAAUAAGGAUCUGCAUUAGUUGAAGUGACGAUGAUCACUACAUAAUUGAACGAGUCGAAACUAGAAUAGAAAAUGUUGGUUGAUGUUGAAAUGCUGGAUUCCAUAAAUCAGCCAAACGGGUCAAAGGAAUGCGUGUGGUUUGAUAUCAAAAAAUGUUAAAAGAUCCCUUGGCGUUUGUAGAUCGUAAGAGCGUUAACCAUGGAAUUGGUAAUGAUACGCCAGUGAUUGUAAGCCCCGGAAGGUGGGUAAAUACGCCUUGUGGUCAUAAAAAUUGUUAGUGGUUGAAUUAGUGCAAAACUAUACGGUCAAAUAAAUACAUUAGGCAUUUAUAGACUUCCAGCCUGUAAACUCAAUUUUUGACACGACGAUCAUGAUAGACACGUUGGUAAUUUAAUUAUGGACACAUAGGAAAAAGAAUCAUCUAAAACGGACAUGUGGAUAAAAAGUUAUGAAGGUUUAAAUUUAGUAUUUUGUUAAAUUUUAGAGCUGGGAAGAUGCAGCAACAAGAACUCAACCUUUCUGCCGAAAACAGGUGUUCGCGUCGCGCGACACCAACUCAUGGACAUCGUCGCGCAACGCGACGUUGGUCGUGGGCCGCGUAAGCUAUGGUGGGAUUUGUCGUGGGGCGCGACAGACCCUAAACUCAGUAUUCUUGUUUUCUUUUCAUGGUUUGGCAGUAGAACUUGAUUAUACAUAUUUUAACGUUGUCAAAACUAACAAUUUACGUGGUUUUGACAUUAGGUGAUGUUGGACUCAAAUCGGAUGGCGAUCAAGCUGGAAAUCAAGAACCAAACACGUCGUUUAAAAGCUUCCGCGUUUAUUAAACCUUGUUGUAGACAAUGUUUCUUUUGUAAACACUUAACUUGAUGUCUCUCAUGUUUAAACUAGUUAGUAGUUAACUAAGGUACUAUCAUUAUGAAACUUCAUCGUCUUGAAAUUUUUUUGAAACUAUGUAUUUCUUUUGAGAAUACGUAUUUUAUGUUAAAAUAUUAAUUAAAUGAGACGGGUGU